RNAcentral lists this unclassified non-coding RNA (253 nucleotides) under uncultured Flavobacteriales bacterium. RNAcentral's name for it is "contains 16S-23S intergenic spacer region". It matches the Rfam family "Bacterial small subunit ribosomal RNA", at positions 524 to 776 of the family's 1533-position model. The record is from RNAcentral. Lineage: Bacteria; Pseudomonadati; Bacteroidota; Flavobacteriia; Flavobacteriales.
UACGGAGGGUGCAAGCGUUAUCCGGAAUCAUUGGGUUUAAAGGGUCCGCAGGCGGGAAAAUAAGUCAGUGGUGAAAUCUUACAGCUUAACUGUGAAACUGCCAUUGAUACUGUUUUUCUUGAAUUCGAUCGAAGUGGGCGGAAUGUGACAUGUAGCGGUGAAAUGCUUAGAUAUGUCACAGAACACCGAUAGCGAAGGCAGCUCACUAGGUCUGGAUUGACGCUCAGGGACGAAAGCGUGGGGAGCAAACAGG